Molecule: long non-coding RNA, 345 nt
Filed under: Patiria miniata (bat star)
Lineage: Eukaryota; Metazoa; Echinodermata; Asteroidea; Valvatida; Asterinidae
Description: uncharacterized LOC119728930
Source: RNAcentral
AACAUUUCAACAUACCUUGCAUUCCAGAAUAUUGUUAACACUUUCUGAGCUGCAUUGCGUGCUGCAUAACUUAGCUUUCGUGUAAUGACAAGGCAUUGCUAGAGACAAUCAUCCACUUGCUUGCGAUCAGACCACACCUACAAUUUAGAAGUGCUCUGAUUAUAGCUCAACUACAGCUAGUUGGGGACAAUUUCCCCUUCGUUUGGUGGUGGCACGACCGUUGUUCAGCCUAGGCGACGUACAACUGUAUACCCAUUUGACUGUCGUUUUUUUUGGUAUAUAUAUUCGAGAGAGCCACAACUGUAUAUUUUGUAUAGAUUCAUCCGAAUAAAUUAAUCAAAUCUA